UUUUUGAGUUUGAAUCGUGCUCAGGACGAACGCUGGCGGCGUGCUUAAUACAUGCAAGUCGAACGCUUUUUCUUUCACCGGAGCUUGCUCCAUCGAAAGAAAAAGAGUGGCGAACGGGUGAGUAACACGUGGGUAACCUGCCCAUCAGAAGGGGAUAACACUUGGAAACAGGUGCUAAUACCGUAUAACACUAUUUUCCGCAUGGAAGAAAGUUGAAAGGCGCUUUGCGUCACUGAUGGAUGGACCCGCGGUGCAUCAGCUAGUUGGUGAGGUAACGGCUCACCAAGGCAACGAUGCAUAGCCGACCUGAGAGGGUGAUCGGCCACACUGGGACUGAGACACGGCCCAGACUCCUACGGGAGGCAGCAGUAGGGAAUCUUCGGCAAUGGACGAAAGUCUGACCGAGCAACGCCGCGUGAGUGAAGAAGGUUUUCGGAUCGUAAAACUCUGUUGUUAGAGAAGAACAAGGAUGAGAGUAAAAUGUUCAUCCCUUGACGGUAUCUAACCAGAAAGCCACGGCUAACUACGUGCCAGCAGCCGCGGUAAUACGUAGGUGGCAAGCGUUGUCCGGAUUUAUUGGGCGUAAAGCGAGCGCAGGCGGUUUCUUAAGUCUGAUGUGAAAGCCCCCGGCUCAACCGGGGAGGGUCAUUGGAAACUGGGAGACUUGAGUGCAGAAGAGGAGAGUGGAAUUCCAUGUGUAGCGGUGAAAUGCGUAGAUAUAUGGAGGAACACCAGUGGCGAAGGCGGCU
This 749-nucleotide ribosomal RNA is filed under the name Enterococcus gallinarum. Its description in RNAcentral is "bacterial SSU rRNA". It matches the Rfam family "Bacterial small subunit ribosomal RNA", at positions 1 to 726 of the family's 1533-position model. Lineage: Bacteria; Bacillati; Bacillota; Bacilli; Lactobacillales; Enterococcaceae. The record is from RNAcentral.